Molecule: transfer RNA, 55 nt
Filed under: Myodes glareolus (Bank vole)
Lineage: Eukaryota; Metazoa; Chordata; Mammalia; Rodentia; Cricetidae
Description: partial tRNA-Cys
Source: RNAcentral
UAAUCACAUCGAAUUGCAAAUUCGAAGGUGUAGAGAACUGAUUCUACUAAGGCUU